This 220-nucleotide long non-coding RNA is filed under the name Elaeis guineensis (African oil palm). Its description in RNAcentral is "long non-coding RNA (EGUI_LNC017404)". The record is from RNAcentral. Lineage: Eukaryota; Viridiplantae; Streptophyta; Magnoliopsida; Arecales; Arecaceae.
AAGUCCAUUGUUAUACAAUUUAAGUCAAAUUCUUCUUUUUAUCUUCUAAAAAUAUGUCCAUCAUUGAGCAAAUUUGGUUGGACUCCUCUUCCUAACAUCAAUAGAACUAGAUCUCUAAAAAAGGAUAAAUAUAAAAAAUUAUGAAAAAAUACUAAAAUUUUACAGAAGAUAAGUUUUAUAUUUUAUAUCAACUUUAUCUUCUAUUGCUCUACCUAAUUUU